Molecule: transfer RNA, 59 nt
Filed under: Archangium sp.
Lineage: Bacteria; Pseudomonadati; Myxococcota; Myxococcia; Myxococcales; Archangiaceae
Description: tRNA-Trp
Source: RNAcentral
AGCCCCAGUGGAAAGGGCACGGGCCUCCAAAACCCGCCGCUGAAGGUUCGACUCCUUCC